CUGCAGCCAAUUAAGCUGACUGAGCUGCCCGCCUGGUGGUGCCUGGUAUGCAGUGGCUGCAAACAGCAGCCUCCUGGAUGGUGUCUGCAGCCCAUUAUUUGUACAAUCUGCCCUAAGGGACACUGGGGAAACCC
Erinaceus europaeus (western European hedgehog) is the source of this 134-nucleotide small nucleolar RNA. Its record names the gene SNORA70. It matches the Rfam family "Small nucleolar RNA SNORA70". From Rfam's summary of the family: snoRNA U70 seems to be exclusive to mammals and is a member of the H/ACA class of snoRNA which contain H (ANANNA) and ACA box motifs. H/ACA box snoRNAs are involved in the conversion of uridines to pseudouridines (5-ribosyluracil) a constituent of structural RNAs (transfer, ribosomal, small nuclear, and small nucleolar). Lineage: Eukaryota; Metazoa; Chordata; Mammalia; Eulipotyphla; Erinaceidae. The record is from Ensembl.